Non-coding RNA from Xenorhabdus nematophila ATCC 19061, 236 nucleotides. Lineage: Bacteria; Pseudomonadati; Pseudomonadota; Gammaproteobacteria; Enterobacterales; Morganellaceae. The record is from Rfam.
AAAGUCCCGUCGUAGAAGGUAAACCAGACCACUACGUAGCGAGUCUUGCAUCUCCGGCGGUAACAAAGGAGAUGAAGCGUAGACAGAGAAAUGUUCGAGCCGAAACCGAUGGGUGAACGUGAUAACUCCGAAAUUCGCUAAUUGUGUUGUGCCGAUGGUAUCGUCGAACCAGCAGGCAAUAAGCUUCUGGAUGGGCCACUGGUAAAGUAAGAAGGACACACCGGAGUCUCAGGCGU